GAUGAAGAACGUAGCGAAAUGCGAUAAGUAGUGUGAAUUGCAGAAUUCAGUGAAUCAUCGAAUCUUUGAACGCACAUUGCGCCCCUUGGUAUUCCAUGGGGCAUGCCUGUUCGAGGGUCAUUUGUACCUUCAAGCUCUGCUUGGUGUUGGGUGUUUGUCUCGCCUCUGCGUGUAGACUCGCCUUAAAACAAUUGGCAGCCGGCGUAUUGAUUUCGGAGCGCAGUACAUCUCGCGCUUUGCACUCAUAACGACGACGUCCAAAAGUACAUUUUUACACUCUUGACCUCGGAUCAGGUAGGGAUACCCGCUGAACUUAAGCAUAUCAAUAAGCGGAGGA
Molecule: unclassified non-coding RNA, 337 nt
Filed under: soil metagenome
Description: partial contains 5.8S ribosomal RNA, internal transcribed spacer 2, and large subunit ribosomal RNA
Rfam family: 5.8S ribosomal RNA (bases 1-120)
Source: RNAcentral